Molecule: ribosomal RNA, 301 nt
Filed under: uncultured bacterium
Lineage: Bacteria
Description: partial 16S ribosomal RNA
Rfam family: Bacterial small subunit ribosomal RNA
Source: RNAcentral
CAGCAGCCGCGGGAAUACAGAGGGUGCGAGCGUUAAUCGGAUUUACUGGGCGUAAAGCGUGCGUAGGCGGCUUCUUAAGUCGGAUGUGAAAUCCCCGGGCUCAACCUGGGAACUGCAUCCAAAACUGGCAGGCUAGAGUAGGGCAGAGGGUGGUGGAAUUUCCUGUGUAGCGGUGAAAUGCGUAGAUAUAGGAAGGAACACCAGUGGCGAAGGCGACCACCUGGACUGAUACUGACACUGAGGUGCGAAAGCGUGGGGAGCAAACAGGAUUAGAUACCCCAGUAGUCCCUGUCUCUUAUAC